This 496-nucleotide ribosomal RNA is filed under the name uncultured bacterium. RNAcentral's name for it is "partial 16S ribosomal RNA". It matches the Rfam family "Bacterial small subunit ribosomal RNA", at positions 28 to 506 of the family's 1533-position model. The record is from RNAcentral.
GAUGAACGCUGGCGGCGUGCCUAAUACAUGCAAGUCGAGCGAACAGACGAGGAGCUUGCUCCUCUGACGUUAGCGGCGGACGGGUGAGUAACACGUGGAUAACCUACCUAUAAGACUGGGAUAACUUCGGGAAACCGGAGCUAAUACCGGAUAAUAUAUUGAACCGCAUGGUUCAAUAGUGAAAGACGGUUUUGCUGUCACUUAUAGAUGGAUCCGCGCCGCAUUAGCUAGUUGGUAAGGUAACGGCUUACCAAGGCAACGAUGCGUAGCCGACCUGAGAGGGUGAUCGGCCACACUGGAACUGAGACACGGUCCAGACUCCUACGGGAGGCAGCAGUAGGGAAUCUUCCGCAAUGGGCGAAAGCCUGACGGAGCGACGCCGCGUGAGUGAUGAAGGUCUUCGGAUCGUAAAACUCUGUUAUUAGGGAAGAACAAAUGUGUAAGUAACUAUGCACGUCUUGACGGUACCUAAUCAGAAAGCCACGGCUAACUACGU